ACACACUUCCAAAGAUAACACUGCCAACUCACUCCCAAACACUACACACAUUACUCCCUUCUACACACUACCAAACACUACACACACUCCCAAACACUACACACACUACUCACUCCUACACACUACCAAACACUACACACUACUCACUCCUACUCACUCCCAAACACUACUCACUCCUACACACUAUGGAGGUUGGUGUUUCUCUGUGGAUUUGGUGAGUGUGCGGUUUGUUGUGAGGCGUCUGAUUAUAAAUGAUUCGGUACAGAAAGUGUUAGGUAUUCACCAGCAGCUGCUGUCAGGUGUGCACUCGAACCACGACCUGCUGAUUACUGUGAUUCAUCCGAACCCUAUCUGUGUGUAAACAGCCCCUCAUCAUCACAGACCACACCCUCCAGAACCUCCACACUCAUCACACUCUCAUAAACACUUCAGCAGCGUUCCUGAGUACCUGCUCCUCUUCCUGCAGUUCACCUCCAGACAUACCGCCCCCUGUUUACCCGCCGGUACUGCAGAGCGUCAGCAGUGCUCGGGCUGGAGUCUCUGGCUUCUCGGCAGGUUCUGAGGGAGGCCUUCUCCCAGUCUGAACUGCUCACGGCAAAGGAAAAGCACCGCAGGACCCAGGAGCUCCUACAGCAGGUGGAGGAGGUUUGGCGUGAGGCCAGGUGGAUGGGAGAGGUUCUUCAGUGCGCUCGAGAUAAACAGCAGCCAGCAGGACCCAACUUCCUGCCCUCACCUGUCCCGUCGCCUGUCCCGUUGCCUGUCACGUCGCCUGUCACGUCACCUGUCACGUCGCCUGUCCCGUCUCCAUGCACCAGCAGGAAACAUUCAGAUGAAGGUUCCUUGGAGGUUUUCCUCACUCCUGACAGUAAUUAUGGCUCCAGUAGAGCACAGAGUCCACCAGAACUCGACCUCCUGCCCCCCGUUGCCCCCUCCCACACCGACCACACCCCGCCAGACCUCCUGCAGACUGGAACCGGGGUCAGGGGGGUGGGACUGCAGAUGAUUGACAGUGACUUCGUCCUGCCUAGUCGUCAGAUAGAUCUGUUACGGAUCACAGAGAAAAAAACCGCACUGUGCAUCCGGACCAGCAGUCUCGAGUACCCGUCUUCCGUCUCGACGGCAACUGCAUUCACAAGGCCCUCCCCACGUCCAGCAGCAGUGGACCGCUGUCGUCCCACCCUCGAGUCCCGCACCCUAUCAGAGGAUGGCGGGAUACAGCGAGUGACUGCCCACUCGCCAAACUCCACCCACCUGUCCUGCUAUACCACUCUCAGAGUGUAUCCGCAGUACCACACCGGCCUGCCCCGGGACACUAGUGUCCAGCUGCGGGCGACGAUACACACGACUGCACGGGAGAUGGUGCAGCUGGUGGUUCAGGAAAUAAGUGGAGUGUGUUCACGCCUGCAGGCCGCCGUCGGGCAGUGUGUGUACGGGGCGGGGCAGUGUGUGUAUGGGGCGGGGCACUGUGUGUAUGGGGCGGGGCACUGUGUGUAUGGGGCGGGACUGGGUGUGUACGGGGUGGAGCAGCUGGAGAACUUUGGGCUGGUUCUGGUGAUGGAUGGUCUGGAAAAGUGGCUUCAGGACGAUUUCUGCCCCCUGACCCUCCAGAACCCCUGGACCCACGGGACACUCUGUAUCCGCUUCAAACAGCAACCACCACUCCCCCUGCAGUUCAGCAUGGGUACUGCAGUCUAACACACACAUACACGCACACACACACUAUACUCACCAUACACACACAUACACAAACACACACUUACACAAACACUCACACACACAGUUACACAAACACACACUGACCUGUGCAGCCAAUUUGGUAAAGAGCAGCAGAUAAAAGAGAAGAGAAUAAACUGAUCAGAACCGACUCGGCCCUUCUGAUC
RNAcentral lists this long non-coding RNA (1880 nucleotides) under Astyanax mexicanus (Mexican tetra). RNAcentral describes it as "lncRNA (ENSAMXG00005011136.1)". The record is from RNAcentral. Lineage: Eukaryota; Metazoa; Chordata; Actinopteri; Characiformes; Acestrorhamphidae.